UAUUACAAUGAAGAGUUUGAUCCUGGCUCAGGAUGAACGCUAGCUACAGGCUUAACACAUGCAAGUCG
RNAcentral lists this ribosomal RNA (68 nucleotides) under Phocaeicola vulgatus. Its description in RNAcentral is "Bacteroides vulgatus partial 16S ribosomal RNA". Lineage: Bacteria; Pseudomonadati; Bacteroidota; Bacteroidia; Bacteroidales; Bacteroidaceae. The record is from RNAcentral.